UCACUUCCUCCUGAGCACGAGUUACAACAGCUGCAGCUGCGGAGAAAGAGAAGCAGCUUGCCAGGCAAGGGAGUAAAUGAUGGCUGGAAAGGAGACACCUUGCAGCUGGGACAAAUAAUGUGCGUAUGCUCAAGAAACCAAGAAUCCCCACAGCAGGGCUUGCGAUCUGCACUGAAGAAUGGCUCCUUUGUCUCGCCCUCCGUCUGAGGCUAAAAGCCAUGCAGCGUGCAGCCAGAUGGCCAGGACAGACUGAGGACCGAGAGGAAAAAGGAGGAAAGCUUCUUUCCUUAAAUUUGUACUGAUCCCUGAGGCUUAGAGAACAAAAGUCCACGGAGCGCACAUCCCUCAGGGGAUGAUUUAGAGGCUGAGGUUCUGAGAGGCUUGCAAAGAAGGAUGCGGAUGUACGUACCUGAUGUGACACAUAUAGUCUUAGCUGCUAAGAUUUGUCUUACAAGAUAUGCAUGCUUUUAAAGUGCAGCUGGUGAAUGGGAUCUCCGUUCGCUUAACAGGCCACGUGCAUACCAGCAACAAAUCUGGUUGCAAAGAAAGCCCAAUAACCUUCUGGUCCCCAGAGAGCGCUUACUCAGGGAGCUUCCCAAAAUAGAAACUACAGAGCAGUGCCAGAGGGAGUGAGGCACUGUAACCAAGAAGAUGGAUGAAAAACAAGUGCUGAGCAACAGAGAGGUAUUUUGUAUUAACCCUGCCAAAUGGAUUAUUUAUACUGUAAUCUGCUGCUGCUGGUACGACUGAGCCUUUUGAAGGAAAGUUGCAGGCAGCUUCUCCUGAUUGUUCAAUGAAGCAGAUAAGCUCACACCUUAAAUCAGCUCUGCCAGCCUUUCGCUGCCUUCCCGCAUACAUGGAUUUCAGGAUAAUUCUUAAGGAAAGCAGAAGGUGGCAGUUCACAAAGAGAUGUUCUGAGUAUAGUGAGACAUCAAGACAGUCUAGACUGUAAACUGAUCUUAAGCAACAAAAUUAUAUCGAGCACUGAAAGCGCAUACCUCCAAAAAAGAUGACUGUGAUAUGAAAUGCUUUUUAGGGGGCCUCACAGCCUGGUAGGAGUGGGAAUUGCCCAAGAGCUCUUUGCUACCCGAGGGUUGUCAGUGAAAGGUGGGCAAGGGCAUACACGUACGCAGGACAGGAUGCUCCAGUUAACGAGAGCUAAGUGCCCUGAUGUGAACACGCAGAGGCUGUCAAGGAAAUAUUAGCAAUAAGACCACUACUACAGUGUUUCUUGUUACAGUCUAUUUCCGGUUGUUUUCAUACCUUUGGAGAACAGAAGAAAAGAGAAAGAAGCUGGACUCAGAAGUCACCUUGCUCACUCCCAACACAAGGUCACUUCUACCAUGAGCAGCAGCCUCUGUGACAAGCAGCACCCACAGAGCUGACAAGGCCUGCCCACGGCUGCCUCCUUUUGUAAAGGCCUUGAACCCAUCUUCUGCUAUACCUCAAGGCAGGUGUGGCUCUCCAAGUGACUCUAAAGCACCUAGUAUGGGACAAACCCCUGCCUUUCUCUCAUUUCCUCUGUUCAUGUCAUGAUGGAAGAACAGUCACCCUCAAGAAUCUCCAUAAGACACUACGCAGCUCACCAUAGCUCAUCACUGAACCAAGCCAUUCCAAUCAAACUCUAUUUAUCUAUUUAUACAUAUAGCAUCCAUGUAUGUGUGUAUAUAUGUACAGCCAUUUAUUUUACAGAAUUUUAAUGGUGGGAUCCUAGCACCUCCCACUUCUCCCUUCAAGAACCUCUAGUAUUUUGCUACGCUUACCAUUAGAACAUUUUCUUUUUCCCUAAAGUUUAAUAGAAAUCACCCUUACUGUUUUAAGAUCAUUACUUGUGCUUUCCCUGCUGGAACGAAGAAAUUAUUCCCUUCCUCCCUAGAGCAUCCUUCAAAAUAUUUUAACAAACACUGUUAUCACACCUCCUCUCAGUCUUCAUCCCUCUAGACUAAACAGUCCCAGUGCCUUCAGCUUAUAGGACAUGAUUUUUUUAAAGCUCUAUCAUUGUUUCUGUUUGCUUCUGGACUCUUUCCAGUGGUUCACAUCUUUCUUGAAAGCUCAGUGUCCGCAGAAUCACGUCUGAAACUUCACCAUGUUAAAUAAAAAAGUAGUUACUCUAAAGAUUCAAUUAUGCAGCACUCCUAACUUUACAUCUCAGUGAUAAGCAUUGCACUUGUAAACAUUUUUUCAGGUUUUCCUUGGGAAAAACACAACCGAGGAUGUUACUACCAUAGCUGGGGACUGCAGCACAGAUUCCCAAAGCAGGAAUCUGAUGGCUCUCCUCCUGUUAAAAAUUCAGCCAAGUGAAAGUCUAAGGAUGAAGAAGUACAAAUAAAGUUACUUAUACAGACACAAAUGUACUCUGGGACAGAUAUCUCACAGUUACUUCAUGAAGAAAAGCUCAAGACUAUUGAAAAACUGUCACCAUAACUCUAACAGAGAAUAAAAUAAUUCUUGAU
Molecule: long non-coding RNA, 2453 nt
Organism: Gallus gallus (chicken)
Lineage: Eukaryota; Metazoa; Chordata; Aves; Galliformes; Phasianidae
Source: Ensembl